UUCUUCAUGGUUGUGAACAGGUGCACCAACCUAAAAAUUGUGUGGCUGGUUUCCAAAGUAACUCAUAAACCCACCAGGUGGGCAUGGGUCGUCUUUAUCCCUGCAGGAAACAUAACAUCACUAAAAUGACUCUAUACAACAUUACUUUAAUUUGCACUAUCUGCUUCUCAUUCACACUAACAAAUAUCAAAUAGUUUAUAAGAAACAGAGCAUUAGUUUCAUUCUCAAACAUUUGCAACAAACAUCAUAGACCUUCAAAAGGAUCUAUGACACUACAUGCAGGGAAUAAAAUAUGUCAUUUGUCAACCAUGAUGAUCUGACCAGGAUGAACACACAUGCAGCCCAUAGCCACCCUCCUGCUAUUCUUCCCCAAAUAAGAUGAAACAAAUUGCAAUAUAUACAACUUAGCACAUUCAGCAGCUACCAAAGCUCUGUUCACAUUCAGAUACAGCUAGCAAGUUCACGCAGGUUCACAUUCAGAUAAUAACUAGCAAAGCUCUAUUCACUAACAGAUAAGAUAGAAUUUCACUAACAGAUAGGAGCAAGUCCAGAUCAAUUCACAGGUCAGGUGAUUAACAAGAUGGAUCCCAAGCUGCUGAGCGCACAAACGAAGGAGAAGCUGGAUCAACGUUGGUCGAAUUCCACCAAGCAGUAGAUGGUGAAGUGGGGAAUGGAAACCCACCGAAGACGAUGGAACCGUCGCAGCACUGGGGAAGGCACCUCCACUAGAUGUACCAAUGGAGAUAGGAGGUGUUGCCAUGCUGUUGCUGAGGGAACAGGAGAUGGGGGUACCCCGGUGCCACCACCGCUGAUCCACUUCCGCGACCUAGGGUUCAGCCCAGGGCAUCCGCGCCCAACGAUGAGCCUCCACCACGACUGAGGUUGUAGUUCGACGCCGUCGAGAUGGCUCCGCGACCGAAGGUGUGCACCGGGAACACCGCUAUCGCUGUCGCCGCAGUUGACGCAACAAUGGGGGUGUCCUUGCUCUUCUUGUUUGUGGAAGCUAGUUUGCACUUCCUCGCUGAGGUGCUAAACAUCGCAGCCACCAAAGGUUGGGGUGCCCGAUUGAGAAAGAAAGCUAGAGUGUUGUGGCUGCUUCACCGGUGAAAUAGGGAUGAGGCAGAGACGGAUUUGGCGGGACUGCUCCCUCCCAUGCGCGCCAAAACUUCAUUAGCAUGCACGCGAGUGCCCCAGAUCCGCGCGCCGUCGAGACAAGGGGACGACUCCUACAAUGCUGCUCGGCUGGUCUCCUUUGCAUCGGUGCAUGGGACGGCUCCGUCGCUUCACGAGACGACGGAAUAGUCGUCUUCAGGCCACAACGGCACAACAGAUUUUUUUUGUAAAAGUACCCACGAAAGGACGGGGUGAAGAGUUUUUAUAAAAGUACCCACGAAAGGACGGGGUGAAGAGCCCCGUUGUACAUACCCUUAUUACGCAACUCACGUGAGAAUGGAUAAAGGAUAUCUUAGGUUGGAUCCUAUGAACUAAUAAGUAUAAUUGAAAGUUUAGUCUUUAAAGAUCUAAACAAAUGAACUAGUUAGUGAGCUAACAACUAGCGAAAGCCUCAACUAAUUGUUACUUCACUAGCAUAUAGAGCCCAACUAGUUGGGCUAAUCACUAAUUCUAGUUCAUCCAAACAGCUCCUUAACCAACCAAACAAAUUGUCGUUUUUCAUUUCAGGCAACAGGUAGGGGCGGCACCCAUUUUCAUUUGCAGUACAGCCCCGAACUAAACAGAGAAAGAGAGACACACAUUUGGCGGCCAAAAAAUCUGGGUUUUGAUCUAUCAUUUUGCAUAAUAAAACUAAACAUCAUGCAAAAAUUUUUAGCAAAAAAAAUUAUUCUUCAUUUUGGAUUUUGGUCUCAGGAGGCCAAAAGCCCAAAAGAGUUACAAGAGACCAUAAUAAGAGCAAUAAAUUCUGUAUUCUAGACAAAACUAAAUAUAACCUUAAAAAUGUUAGUAUUUAGUAUUUUAUCAUUUCAAGGUAGUCGGCAUUUUGCAUUUUGCAUUUUAUGGGAAAUUAAACACCCCCUAGCACAACCAAAUCGUCAACUCCCAACACUGCAGGCUUGAUGGAGCAUCAUUACCACGCUUCGGUUGAAGCUAAGAGCUGCAAAGCAUUUGCCAGUGCCAUUACCACCACCAUUUCAUGUUGCAUGGCUUGACCGGUCGUAAGAGUCCCAUGCACGUCGCAACUCGCACAGGCAUUGCUCUUGCUCGCGGUGCCAUGAUUGCGCCUUUCACAAACUCAUAGUUGAUCAAUUGGAGCACUUGCGAUUAUUGAAUCAUUAUUGUACUACCAUUUAGUAUGAGAUUUGAAAUUUACUUAAUUUAAUUGGAUAAAUAACAGGCCAUAUCUAAUUAAUUAAGUCCAAGAGCUAACAAUUCCAGGCUGUAAUUAAUUGUGCGAGAUGAUGUGUUCCUAGUCCACGAUGACCUUGAGAAGGACAUUGAGGAAGACGAAGGCUGCAAACGAGAUCCUAGUUUCCAUAUCUGCCAGGGAUGGGAUUUCGGUGAGCUAGCUUAAAUAUAGAGUAUUAUGGCAUCUAGAAAUUAACAAUAAUACAGCAAUGCUUUACAGCACUCAAGUGUUUUACAGCAAUUCAACACUCAAUUCCUUUCUGUUCUCUUCCUCUCCCUCUCUUCUUCUCUAACUCUGGCAAGCUUAGAUGAGACUGUGGGAGGCAGGUCGGCCAAAUGGUGGAAACGGCAGGAGGACGACGGUUAGAGUUCCAGCGGUGUAGGAGGCGGUCGAACUAGGUCAGGGCGAGGGCAUCUAUGGCCAUACGACGGUGAGGGGAGGAGAAGAAGAAGGUUGUUGUGGGCGUAAUAGGGUCUCAUCGGAGCUCAAGACCCUACUGCACUGAGGCGGGGCAGUGGACGACGGUAGGGCAUCGGGAGGAGGAAGAGGACGAUGAAGAAAAAAUCAAGUGUUCUCGAGAGCCAAAACACUCAAGCGACAGAUGAUAGAUCCUAAUAUAGAAAUGCAACAAUGUAUCCAAAGUAUGGAGGCACUGCUGUGUUUGUUAUUCCCAUCCUAGAGGUAAUCUUUGGUGUCCACAGGGAGAUAUUUAUUUUGUUCGUGCCUCUCGAGCCUCACCAUAUCAAUUCUAAUUAUGUUUCCGUCUAAUGCUCCGUAUAUAUAAUACGCUAAUAAGAUAGUGAAAUAGACGAAACUGAUCGACACAUUAGGUUUUUUUUACAACAAAUAUUUUUCAUUUGAGCAGCAGGACGCUGCAAUCAGUCUAACAGACUGAAGGUUUACAUCUAUCAGAUGCAUCAGGAAUGGGCACUGAUAGGUAAGGCUCUGAUGAGAGCAUACAUGAUGGAAGAAAGAUUCAACAGGAACAAUAACUGAGAAAGCCUGUCUAUCUAAAGCAUAUGUUGUAUUAUUUAUGUUCCUAUUGAUUUUGAAGAUCAUGGCAUGACAUUGAUCACCUGUGUUCCUGAACAUCUGGGUGAAAAAGGUUUUAUCCUCCAGUCUACAGGAUGUUCUUGGUCAUCUUCAUGUAGGAAUUGUACUAGCUGCUGGUUAUUAGUGAGAAAGGUGGUGUCAGUGAAGUUGAGUCGUUCACUAACAACUGCUGCUAGAGCAAGUGCUACAACUUCCGCCAUGAGGACUGAGUGGACUUCCAAGGCUUGUGCUGUGAUGUAGAUGGUUUGUGUGGUUGUACCUAUGGAUUGACAAAAAAUCCCAAGUCCUAUAGCUAUAUACUGCCUGGUUGGUUGGUCAUACCUUAAGGAGGCAUCAAUGAAGCAUCUGACUCCUUGGAUGAGCUCCAAUAUAGAGAUGAAGUAUUUGUCUGUCUAAGGUGAAGCUCUUGCAUUAGAUGUGAUAAUACCUGGUGAAGUCGGGGUGGCUUGAUUUGUGAGCAUCAUUUUCUAGGGGGUUUGUGCUUGUUGUUCCUCCAUAGGGUGUGAGGUGCAGGUUCCUCCUGUUGGUGCUGCAUGUGAUCAGGUGCAGGCGUCUCCAUCUGUUGAGGUGUGUGGCUGUGAUCCUACGAAGUAAUAGCAAUGGCAGUUUGCGUACCUUGUGCAGUCAUUUGUGGGGGUUGAGGUGGGAUAAGUAGAGUGUCGGUUUGGUGGCUGCUAAUGUGGGCUACGACCACAUGGUGUACCUGCCAUGGAGUCCAAGUUUUUCUGUGAAAUCAAAUAUCAUUCCUAGCUUUCCACAAAUACCAGAAAGUGAUUAGUAAUUUGUUGAAUACAGUAGAUGGGAUGGCGGCGGGGAUGAAGCUUGGUAGGAUUAGUUGCACGCCAUUAGUAUCUUGAGGUAAAUUGUCAGUGCAAAGAAGGGGAUUUGAUGAGAAUACUGUUGUGGGAGGUGAUAGUGGAAGAAUAGGUGGGCAUCAUCCUCCACCACGCCAUAGGAACAUAGUGCUUGUCUAUGUGGGGGAGUAUCUCGCUGCUUGUUUUGUUGUAGCUAGGGCUCUUUUGAUGAGUCUCCAAGUGAAGGAUUUAACUAGAGAUGGUGGCUCCUUACUAUUCCAUUCUCUCUGCAUAAUGGAGUUAGCAUGGGGUCCACCUCAAGAUGUCAUGACCAUCACUAUGAAUAGUUGGUGUUACAGUUAUGACCUGUACAUCCUAAGCAUCAAAGAUGUUAGUGAUGAGGUGAACAUUCGUGUUAUGGGAAUUUGGUUGCUAAAGAUUAGAGAAAUGGUUGGCAUUGGAGAUUGAGUAGCUAGCAGGAUCAUGUGGUCAUGGAUAGAGUUCCGAAUGGGCACCAAGGGGUGGACCAUAUAGAACUGUUACUUGAAUGGAUCUAGUAGACAGAGUUGGAGCGAAGUUUAGUUUUGACCUACAAAAUAGAAGACCAGAAGAUUGAUCUAGGACCAGUGGUGUUGGCUUUCCAAAAGGAGGUGUUGUGGAACUAUUUAGCCUUAAGGACAGAGGUGAGCAUGGGGUUUUUAUUAGUAGCAAUGUUUGCCAAGACCCCCAUUCUUCUUGGGCUAGCAAAUGUCUUCCCAAGACAUGAACGCAAUGGGAGAUGUAGGGUUGUCUUUCUAGACUCUAGUGCACCAAAAUUUCCUGAUUAUAGUGUUGAUUUUACCUAUCAUAGUAUUAGAAAAUAGCACAGUACACAUGUAGUAUACAGGGACCAAAGCUAGGACAGAUUUGAUGUAAGUCAGUCUCCCUGCAUGAUUAAGCUUGUUAGCUUUCACAGUAGUUAACUUAGCUCUAAAUUUUUUAAGAAUAAACUCAUAAACCUUAUUCCGAUCAUUACGAUUAAAAUAAUCAGGUGGCCCAAGGUGCAUGCUAUUAGGAAGGAGGUCAGGGGUAGGAAAGAUGUUCCUGAUAUCAUUUCUAGUGGUCAAAGGCACCUUUUUACUAAAAAGGAUUGAGGACUUCUAAAGAUUGGGAGUUUGCCUAGAGAGGUGGCAAAAGUCUUGUAAAAUGUCCCAGAUUUUGGUGGCUUCAAUGAUGGAGGCCUCGCCACAUAAGAUUAGAUCAUCAACAAAGAGAAGAGAGUGAAUGGGAGGGCAACUAGGACCAAGGGAAAUGCCCAAAAAAUUGGAGUAAUGAGUUCAGUUUGAAGGUGAAUGGAUAGCUCAUUGGUGGCCACAACAAAAAGACAAUGAGAGAGGGGGCAGCCCGGGCGAAUACCAUGAUGGGGAGUGAAGGAGGUGGAAGGCUCUCCAUUGAUAAGGAUGGAGAAAGUAGUAGUGGAAAUACAAGCUUGAAUGAGGUUGGUGAAAUUGGAGGGCAGCCCAAGACGAUUUAGAGAGUCCCAAUUCAGACAAUCAAACGUUUGGCCAGGUCAAGCUUGAGAUAAAAAAGCUUGCUGGUUCCAGUUUUUUAGGUUGGAAGAGAUGUGCCUGUGUUUUGAUGAAUGCAACUUAAGAUUAUUGAGUCAAUCGACAGCAACUUUGGCGUUUAGUAGAACACAGCAUGGUGCCAAGAUGAUACUACGAUGUCAGCAAAAACUUGUGGGAUCCACCAUUUAGUAAACGAUUAAAGAAAUUUUGAUUUCUUUUUUGUCGUUUCUGCACACCUCCAUGCCUACCAUACGUGUACUGUGUUGUUUUCAGUGGCGGAGGCAGCUGGCAAGGUUCGGCCUCCGCCGUACCUAAAAUGUAUAGAAAACACUAGUAUAUUAUGUGUAUAUACGGUUAUACACGUGAAAUAUACAUGGCUUAGCCUCUGCCACUGUGCACGAAUAGAUUUUGUUUGUGGGCUGGUAUCUCGUGGGCUUACACGACUACGAGCCCGUUCGCUUCUUAGCUGUACUUUUUUUCAGUGAUUUUUUUUUGACCAGCGAAUAGGCUCUAUGUCAAAAGCCCACGACACUAUCCAUAGAAGGAAGCAGCUCAUUGGUCUUCCUGCCUUCCUGGCUGGUCGACUACUCCAGGUUUUAGUGGCCGACUUGUUUAGUUUCAAUUUUUUUUAGCAAAAUAGAUACUGUAGCACUUUUGUUUGUAUUUAACAAAUAUUAUUCAAUUAUAGACUAACUAGGCUCAAGAGAUCUGUCUCGCAAAUUAUAGACAAACUGUAUAAUUAGUUAUUUAUUUUAUUUAUAUUUAGUGUUUCAUGCAUGCAGUGGCGGAGGCAGGAUUUUUGCUUGGGAUAUGCCAAACAAAAAGUUUUCAUAUACAAAUCGGUAAAAUCUAUUUAGCAAUUCGGUAGAAUUUUAUAAAAAAAAUGUCUAACAAUUCGGUACACAACUGUUAAGGCCUUGUUUAGUUCCAAAAUGGACAUUGUAGUAUUUUCGUUUGUAUUUAAUAAAUAUUAUCCAAUCAUAGACUAACUAGGCUCAAAAGAUUUGUUUCGCAAAUUACAUGCAAAUUGUGCAAUUAUUUUUUAUUUAUAUUUAAUACUUCAUAUAUGUGCCGCAAGAUUCGAUGUGACAAAGAAACUUUCAAAAUUUUGCUAAUUUUUUGGGACGUAAACAAGGCCUAAAUGGCAUAAGUCGUGCGUCCAUGGUGUGUUUGAAAGGAGCGUCCGAGAGCAGGUGCGAGACGAAUACCGAGGUCUUGUUUAGUUCUUCUAUGGUCUCCAAUGGGAGGGUUAGCUGAUCCACAUUAGUUAACCACUACUCCACAUUGGGCAAAGUGAUUUUGUUAACGCACGUAGCCACGGUAAAUCAUAAUUAAAGAGCCAUCGUGAUCAACUUUCAUUAUGUGAGCUUGAACAAAAUGAUCAACAUCAAGAGUUGGCCUACAAAUAAUUGUAGAGCUUUGCUAAAUUUCCACACCCUUUCUCCCACUCCAAAAAGCCAAAGUGCUCAAUCCUUAAGCAAAUCAUUCCACCAGGAGAACAAAAGCAAUGUUGUGGUGAUCAACAUCAAGGUAUAUCUGUAGAGCUUUGCUUUUACCGGUUAACGUGCAAUAUGAGUGCACAAUUAUGUUUAGGAUAGAUUUAUUAAGCUAAUAUUGUUAUCUAGUGCCACUAGGUGGGGACUAACAAUACACAUGUGUUAGACUCAGUGACAUGGUGAGGAAGCAAGUGAAAACCUUUGAAAAUGCAAACUCAGUGCUAAAGGUGUUAUUGUUCCGUCUGCCACAUUUGGGAGAUAUCAUAUUUGAAAAAGGGUUUAAGAGAGGGGCUUGGUGAGAUGGUUUGAAUAGUCACUAGAUAAGUCCGGUGGUCAUCAGAGCUUAGGCACACCCACUUUACUAGUCUAGUCAUCAGGCUGUCUCACUCUGUAGUGGGCCACCAAAAAUAUCCAUGCCUCUAGGUCCGAGCACUAAAGUUUAGGCUCCUUCACUUUGGGAGAGAAGGGGACGCUGGACACGAGGCAACAAUCGGCAAUGGCUGCAAAGCACACAAAGUUUAGAAGGAUAAAGGAAGACGACUAGAGGAGGUUAAAUAGUCAUUUCUAUAACUAAAUCAUGAAUCCUAGGCAAAUAAAUAACAUUAAUAAACUAUUUGUCACUUCCCACUAUAACAGCAGAAAUAAAACAACAGAGAUAAUCUAUUUUCAUAACAAUACAAUAAAAGGUACAUGACUCAUUAUUUCCAUGAUGAUUCCAUCCCUACCUGCGAGCGUGGAAAGCCUAAAAAGCCUCUCUCCACGGCCUUCCUAAAAAAAGCCCACCUGGCCACCUGUAGUUCAAUAUAAGCUACUGGAGAAGCUAGGCGUUUGGUCCAUCUCGAACCGCUUUUAAAGCUAAACAGCCCAAUAACCCAUUUCAAACAAGGUCGAAGCCCAAUGAGGCAGGUGGCCCAAAACCUGACCCGAUUCUCUCCCAAUUCUUUUUCCUCGUGUUGGAAUCGGAAUUGGAAUUGGAAUUUGUACGUAGUGGCGGCGAUAUCUGGUUCAGAGUGGGUGUUGAUUCGUGGAGAGCAGCUGGUCGGGCCCAUCCGCGCAGUUGGCUUGGCUUGGCCGCUGCCGCCCGUGCUCGCACCGGCCGCCCCACCUCCAUCUUCCCAUGGUGGUGGUAUCAUCCCCCCCCUUUCCUCUUCCUCCUCCCCACGUGCAACCACCUAACCCCUCUCCCACCGCCCUCCUCGCCUAGCCCGCCGCCACAGCGGCCGUCGACGAGCGCCAUGCCCGCCGCGGCGUCCACCUCCGCGACCUCGCUGCUGCUGGGCGGCGGCAGGCUCCCGCGGCUCCAGCUCCAGUCCCUCCGCGCCCCCGCCAAGCCCCCCUUCCGCCGCCCGGCCUCGUCCCCGUCCACACCGCUCCCCAGAUGCCGCGCCAGCGCGAGCCCCCGCCCUCUGGGCCCCGUCUCCGCCUCCGCCCUCGCGCUGCCCGUGUCGGUGACGGCCGCUCCCCCACCGCAGGUGGAGGAUGGUGGCUGGGUGGGAGGCGCGGCCGCGGCCGCGGCCGUGAGGAGAGUAGCUGUGGCGGUGGCGUGCGGGGCGCUCGCGGCGGCGUGGUGCCGCCGGGCGAUGGCUGUGGGGGCGGCCACGGCGGCGGGAGCGGGAGCGGGGGCCGGGGCCGGGGCGACGGGGGCGGUGGAAGCUGCCGCGGGGAUUGGAGGGAUGGCGCUGCACGGGGGCUGGCCGAGAGUGCUGCAGAUUCUGCAGCUGCUCAGGGAGCAGGGCCUGGUUCUGGCCGCGCUGCUCGGCCUCUCUGCGUUCUUCUCCAUGGCAGAAACUUCUAUCACGACGCUUUGGCCUUGGAAGGUGCGUUCAGCAAGUCUACGGAGACCCAUUUUCUUAAACUCCUGUUGUUGCCAUAGUAAUUACUGUACGUACGCGAAAUGAACUAUGCUUCCAGUUUUGCAAUCGGUUUGGUUCACUGAGCUACGAGGUAGGAUAUUGGGAGAUUUUUGGAUACUUAGAUGAGCAGAUUGGUAUUGGUGUAGUGUUGCUGCUAAGAGGGGAUGCUGAGAUGGGGUGAGUGUCUUAUGGGUACGUCCUUGUAUCAACUACUAUACUCAUUCUAAAUGGGUUUAUGCAAUGAGUAUUUGUAUGAACAAAGCAAACGGAUACGCACUAGCUUAGGCUGUUGGGUUGGGCUGUGGCAUGUGUGGGUCGAGGAUGUGGCGGUUGUCAUGCACAUCCUGCUUCAGCAGUGAUGUGAUAAUUUUGUCUCGCUUGCUGAUGACAUAAUCCACAGCACAAGUUUGUAUUUGAGAAGUGAUGUCACUGCUGGGAGUGUUGCUGAAAGACAUGGGGAAAGCAUUAUUGCUCCUUCCUUUUUUUUGUAGGAUAGAGGGCUGAGCAGCAGGCAUAACUGAUUGACAAGCUGACAACAGCAAGGUGCUUCAGAUAUAAUGACAGUGUGCACAUGCGCUUUAGUGACAUGUUGUGCUAGUGAUCUGUAGGAGAAUUAGGCAGGGAAUCUAUGCAAGGAAAGUUUUUAUUAUUUUGAAACUGGAACUAAUGACACUGGUAUUGGAUUACCGGUCUUACUGACUUUAUAUAUAAUCUCCCUUCACACCUAAUCUCAUCAACUGGAUAGGUAUUUCUGGUUCAGAAUAUUUAUAGCUUUGAACAGAACAUUGGUGCUCUUGUAACUAUCAUUAAAGGGGUCCUGCCUCUUUGUUCAUGUUUAUCAACAUUUAAAUUCAAUUCUAAUUCUUCAAAGACUACAACAAGGUGAUCAAUGUAAAUUGAUGGCUGGAUUCGGUUAAUCACAUGUUGAACUUGCAUUUUAUUUUUAGUAGAGGUUUAUUUGCAAGCACAGGAAUAAUGAAGCCCUAGGUUUAGUGCAUUUUUUCCCUCCAGAGUUGAGCCUAAGGAUUCAAGUUCACUGACACUUAUCAUUGUGGGUUCAAGCAUUUGCACACAUAUUAGCAUAUUGAAAUGGCUAAAGUAUUAGAGGUUGGUGCUAGAGUCUUUCCAUAACAGCGCACUUGGGACUGAAGUUUGAUUCAUGCAAAAUUUUUCAAUUGAAUCAUGCUUGAUGUUCAAAAACUAGCAAGAAUCAUAGAAAUAGCAACACUGUAUUGUGUAAUAGGUUGCAUACCUUUUCCCCCUUUGCAUUUGUUUAUUUUUCUAACGUUGUUUGGAAAUUGCCACAUCAAGGCCUAAUUUUCUAGUGAUCUGCCUAGCGCCCAAUAGCUAGCUAGCCUCUCUACUCAAGCAUUGAGGCAUCACCCCCUUCUACCCACCUAGGGCAUUUUCAGAUCAGUGUUUUGAAACUUUGCUUCGUAGUGGUACUCUUUUCUUAUUGUAACUGACUGUAUGCUGAGAGCGAAUAUCUAUAUGCUGAGACUUUGCUGAUUUCUUUUUUCCUUUGCAUUAGGUUCGUGAACUAGCUGAGAAGGAACCUGAGAAUGGUGUUUUCAAAAUGCUCCGAAAUGACGUCACUCGUUUCCUGACAACUAUUCUCAUUGGCACAACGUAAUCCAUGGCAUUUCUAAGUUGUGCAUCACUCAUUGCAAUUUUGUUUUACUAACCCUAAACCCUAAUCUCGGGCAUAAUUUGUAUGAAAUAGUGUGGUCAACAUUGGCGCAACAGCAAUUGUUACUGAGGCAGCAACAGCAAUGUUUGGUGAAGCAGGUGUUAGUGCAGCAACAGGUGUCAUGACAGUAUGUCUCCUGUCUCAUACUGGCCUUCUGCUCUUGUGUAAGUGUUCUUUAAUCUAACUAUGGAGCACCAUUUUUUAGGUUGCCAUCUUACUUCUUACAGAGAUCACUCCCAAAAGUGUUGCAGUCCAUAAUGCCACCGAGGUCGCUAGGUUUGUGGUAAGGUGAGAGAUAUCAAGUAUAACUUAGUUUCAAACAUGUUUAUUUUGAGUACUGAACAUUGUGCAUUUGUUGCGAUAUAUCAGACCGGUCGCAUGGCUUUCGCUGAUCCUCUAUCCAGUUGGGCGGAUUGCUACUUUUCUGUCUAUGGGAAUGCUAAAGAUUCUAGGCCUGAAAGGGAGAAGGUAAGACUGUAAGAGUAUGUAUAAUACUCUAGUUCUUGAUCAACUAGAAGAUAAAUUCUUUGAAAAUAUGCCAACUCAAUAAGCUCAUGUUAGUCAUAGAUUAUAUCCCCCAUUAGUUAUGAUAUGCUUUCAAGAAGGAUACACAAACAAUAAAUUAAUUCAUGCCACAAGAACCACACAGAACUCUUUUUUAAGAGCAUAUGGCUUGCUCUGCGUAGUGGAUAUAACCAGGGAAGCACAAGGAUUGAGUUUCUAGGUGUGUGUGGGUUCUGCUCAGGUGGGCAACUCUAGCUUCAUCCAUCUGUAUCUUUUUCUUGAUGAAAUGGCAUGCAGCUCUUUUGCGUCAUUCGAGAAAAAAUAACCAGGGAAGCACACUGAUUGAGUUCCUGGUUCCUGCCAAAUAAAAUCUCACCUGUUUUCUUUUAAAAAUGGAUUAAACUUGUAUAUUACUAGAAUUCAAGUACAAAUGAGAUGGUACAACAUGGACUAGAUUAGACUAGUUUGAGUAUGUGUUGAGUCUAGUUUAUAGGGUGAUAGUUGUACUUUCUAAAAUUUCUAUAAUUAGUAAAUAGUGCAGUGACUAUAUUUUUAAUCAAUAGAUGACCGUUGACACUAUUCCAAGAAUUGCAUAUCAUCUGUUAUUGUUCAUGAAGGAUCUAAUUCUAGUUUGAAUUUGCUAGAAACUUAUUGAUUGCUUUCUGUAUAAUUUAGUUUACAAAUUGAAUUUAGUAUCUGAUAUUGUAAUACAAUACACAUUUGUAUGUUAUUUUUUGCAUUUUUUUUACAAAAUCCAGUACUCAAGUACAUUGAUUUGCUAUGUCUUUUAGUUACUACAUUUGUAUAUGUUUAACCAAUAUACAAUUGAGAUUCCUAUAUAGAUAAGAUUUAGUUUUUCUUUUUCAUAACUCUUGACAUUUCUGGAGAUCUACUUCUGAAUCUUGUGCAUCAUAUACACUUCUUUCCUCAGUGAACCAUAUGUUACUGAAGAUGAACUGAAGUUAAUGUUACGAGGAGCAGAGUUGAGUGGUGCAAUUGCAGAAGAUGAACAGGUUAGACAAUCUAGUAUAUGGAGAUGCCCAUAUAUUGUGCUGCAUAUUUCCUUCUUUAUUCUUUAUGUUUCUGUGUACCUCACAGCAAGAUUUUGUUAUCCAGUGCAAUCUAGGCAAAGCCUUUACUUACAAUUUUUAUAUCAUAUAGAAAGCUGACUACUUACAUAAAUAAAGAGUGAAUUAAUGAAAUUUCAGGAAAAUAGUAACUAACGUUUUUGCAUGAUUUUAACUGCUAAUUUAAUGUUUGUACACCAUCUCAUCACAUAUAUCCAGAAUUUGAAAAGCAGUAUGGCCCCAAAGGUUUGAGUUAGAUUAUACUGUUGCAGACUAGGAUUUUGCCUCUUGAUAGUUUACUAGCACACUUUGGCUACUUCUUUGUUUUCUUGAAAACGCAGGAGAGCUGCACUUCAUUAUAUUAAGAGGAUAAAGGGCAAGAGCCCGAACAACCCCACAAACACCAUACACACACCACACACAUCACACACUCACGCCCCAACAGAAAUGUUACAUUCGCGCCCGUAAGAAAACACACAACGCGACCACUACUAGGCUAAACAUUUCUAACUAUCGGGGAGGAGGGCAGUCAAGAAUGAUAGCUCUCGAGCUGCUGCCAUAGACCAUAAACGGCGCUCCUCGCCUGCUAUGAUCAGAGCGCCAGCAAGGUUUGGAGCUGCUCCAUCAAAGACACACCCAUUGCGAUGGUUCCAUAUAGUCCAAGCUCCGAGCAUAACAAGAGAAUUAAUUCCUUGCCUUGUCAGCCCAUCAGCAGUGCUGCUAGCCUUCUCCCACCAAGCAUGGAAGGAUAAUUCUGUAAGCUGAGGGGACAAAAGCCUGAUUGAACCAAAAUUCUCUUGUGAACACACAAUGGACAAGUAGAUGGUCGAUAGUCUCCUUUUCAUGGUCACAAAGGAGGCAAUUCUCCGGAUGAGGUAACCCUCGGCGUGCUAGACGAUCAGCUGUCCAGCACUUAUUGUGCGACCAGCCACAUAAAGAAACGGCAUUUGGGCAGCACCCAUGAUUUCCAAAUCUUUUCCCAUGGUCCAAAAAGAGUAGAUCCGAAAAAGAAGCCUUCAUAUGCCGAUUUAGCCAAGUAUUGUCCAUUAGAGGAGAGCCUCCAUAGGUGCUGCAGCUGAAAAUCCAGAAGUAGAUCCCACCAUAAGUGAAAGUAGUCAACAAACCCACCAACUGUGAGCGCUCCUUGUAUGUCCAAAAUCCAAGCCCGGUUAGUAAGGGCAUCCUGGACAGUAUGCUGCUUAACCCUCCUUUUAGGAGUAGCCACAAAAAGUCGAGGGGCAAGAUCUGCAAUGCAUUGCCCAUUGAUCCGAUCUGUCCAGAAAAGAGUGUUUGCACCAUCCAAUUUCAGAAGUUACUGCCACUGAGUAGAAGGCUCUUACUUGCUUCGGCACAUGGAAUGGUAGAGCAGCCCAAGGACAAUGAGGUUCUGUUUUCUGCAGCCAAACCCAUCUCGUGCGCAAGGACCAGCCAAGGGUUUUUAAAUCUGAAAUUCCCAGGCCUCCAAGCUCUGGUGGGCCACAGACUUUGACCCAAGCCACAAGACAAUGACCACCUUUUUGCAUAUUUUCGACCCCUCCAAAGAAAGCCACGCCAAAUUUUAUUUACCACUUUGAUAGCCAUGGAGGAAAGUCGAAAGCAAUAGCUAAGUAAAUGAGCAUUCUCAGUGAGAACUGAUUGUACUUGAACCCUUCUUCCAGCCCUUGUCAUUAGGUCUGCCUUCCAGCCAGGAAGUUGAUCUGCAGUACGAUCAAUAAUAGGCUGCACUUGUUUCUUUAGGGAGAGGGGCAGACCUAAGUAUUUGCAUGGGAAAUCCGAGAGGGGCACACCUAGCUAGUUUCUUUGGCUACUGUUAUCCUUUAGGUAUUUUGCAGAACCUUUCCAUAGCAAUCCCAUUAAUCUUUAGGAAGCGAUCCCAUUUGUUAAAGCCCCUGCAGGCAACUUUCAAGUUCAUUAUUCUCGAUCACAGGUAGUCAUUCUGCAUAUUUUUCCCUCAGAAUCAUCAUAAGAAUUGGGUUAAGUGGAUAGGUCAGACUAUAGCAUGGAAAUACAUAAGUACUGAUAGGUUGUUGAAACUAUCUAAGACUACAGAUUUAUCGUGUCAAUUUGUCACAAAUAACAGAUUUUAGCUGAUGAAAUCAGUACUUCUGCAGUACAUAGAAAUACUAAAUGUGUAGUUUUAGUUUUGCAAAAACAAGGACACUAAAUUUAUAAUUCUGUGAUAAAACUUCUUAAAUCUGUAGUUUUGUGAUAGCAUAGCCCACUCACACAUAUACAAAAAAAAAGAAAAAGAAAAAAAGGAACCAUAUAGUUAUUUAUGUGCUUAGAUUCUAGGCCCUAGAACUAGAACCUAUAGCUGUGUUACACUAUUAUGAAUUCCUAGUCCGUGCCUGCUUGUGCAGGACACUUUUCUACUUGAUCAGCUAAAGUCAGCACCUGAGUCUUUUAACAGGAUAUGAUCGAGAAUGUCCUGGAAAUUAAAGAUACACAGGUGAGGGAAGUAAUGACGCCUUUGGUGGACGUAGUUGCAAUUGAUGCUAUUGCAACACUUAUUGAUUUCAAAAACUUGUGGGAAACUCAUCAGUACUCUAGGUAUUGUCAACUAUUAUUGUCGCGUGUAUUUUCAAGUCUUAUCACUGACAUCUGCUGCUAUUUGUUAUUUCCAGAGUUCCUGUAUUUGAGGAGCGCAUAGAUAAUAUUGUUGGAAUUGCAUAUGCAAUGGACAUGCUUGAAUAUGUUGAAGAGGUAUGUCUCUUGUUUACCAUUUAAUGUAAAACUUAAUCACAGUGAGUCUUAUUUGCUCCACAUGAUGCUUCUCUAAAGGGAAAGUAAAAGGUGUAUUUUUCUUUUGAAGGUUGAGAAGCUGAAUGAAAUCACUGUUAAGAAAAUCGCACAUAUGCCUACAUACUUUGUUCCAGGUAAUUUUUAGUAACAUUGUUGGAUACAAGUAUCAUGAUGAACUAAAAGAAGGCAUCUGUCAGUAGUUAUAGGGUUGGAUGUUUUUCCACAACAAUUAAUCAUUUCUGCCACAUGUUUUCUCCCAUCUAUGCAUCAUGGAUGUAACAUAUGAUACUGUUUCAUCUGGCAGAUUCAAUGUCUGUUUGGAACCUAUUAAGAGAGUUCCGGAUCAGGCAGGUUCAUAUGGCAGUGGUCCUUAAUGAAUAUGGUGGAACUAUUGGUGUAUGUCCCUAUGAAACCCAUUUUUUAUACUUUACAAACUGGACACAGUUUAGUACUUGUUAAUAUUCUUGUUAUGCUUUCAUCCAAGGCUAGUUGCUCAAUUGAGACCAUUUUGACUUAUGGCACACAACGAGGUUCAACAUUGUUUACUCCAAUCAAUUUUUAGUUGUAACUUCCAAGCAUGCUAGUUAGUUUGCUAAUAAUUGAUGAAUGCUAGUCAGUACAUGGUGACAUUUUGAUGGCCAUUUAUUGGCAACACUACUGGCUUUUGUUCCACAAUGGUCGUGUUUUUAGCACAAGCAUGUGGUGCGAUGCUUCAAGUGAUCUUGCUGCACAGCUUAUGUAACUGCAGCAAUGGGGCACUUUUCAUCUGUUGCAGUAGCAGUCCCUGUUGUUCAUGGUUUGUUUCCUUUUAAGAUAUACCCCACACAUAGAGAUUAGUUAUGCUCCAUGCAGCAGAGAUUAUUACUUUCCACAAGUUUAGAGAUUGUUUCUUAGGAAGUAGUUAUGCUCACAGUUUGUUCAUCAGUUUCUGUUUUCAGAAGUAGUUGAUGAGCGAUGAACAUGUUUUGAUUAUGUUUGCUGCUGAAAGGAUAAUUCUUUAAGAUGUUUUUCUCAUUACUGAUGCUCAUUGGUAAAAGUUGCAAAUGAUUGGACAAAGCUACUACCCGUGAGCUUCCUUUGUCUCACAUACCCUUCGAGCAAUUACGCUUUAAUGUAGCAAUAUCUAUCCAUUACUUGCAGCAACUAAGUCCUAUUGUAUUCAGAAAUGUUUAUUAGAACAGUUUGUAAUUUCAUAUGUUUAUCACUGCAUGGGACAUUGGGAAUUACUCUGACCUUUGGCCAAAAAAAAAUGCAGAUUGUAACACUAGAAGAUGUAGUGGAAGAAAUAGUUGGUGAAAUAUUUGACGAGAAUGAUUCCAAGGUGAUUAUUUCUGGAAUUUUUUAUUUCAAAUCGCAAGUGGGUGUUCAGUGCCAUACAUAUGCAUGCUAUUAUUUUCUAUUUCUUUUUCAAAAUUAUUUCCCCCUUUCUUUUGGUUUAUUAUUCCCUUUUUGCCUUGUAACUAUCGUUCUUAUAUUACAUAACUGACUUUUCAUAUGUUGGUAAUAAAUAAUGAUAUGCUAGCAUUUGAACUUACGAAAUUUAGUGGGCCAAACAUACUGAGCCAUGCCAAAAAAGACAGGCAAAUCAUACAGUCAUAUUUUAGCAGCAGCAGUGCAUUAGCGCGGUGGGUACUGAGCCGGAGUUUGCAUGUGCCUGAAGGUGGCUGAAUGAAUAAGGUGGAUAUUACCCUACCCGCACCCAAAUCAAAAUGUGUAUUUUAUUUCUACCCAUACCCUCCCCAAUUAAUGCGGGUGUGGAUUUGAAUAUGGGGAUUGAAUAUCCAGCGGCAGGUAUAAAGAUUAGAUCUCCUGCCUCAGUGCUUCUCCAAGAUCUGGAAGCAGCUGCUUCACUCCUAUUUUCUGUAUCCUAGUCAAAACAAAGGAUUUUUCCAUGUAGCAAGCUAGUUGCUCUUUGUCAUUUGCUUAGGCAGUCUCUCAAUUCCUUCUGCUACUCUGUUUUUCACCCUUUCAGGAGGAAAUCCAGAAGAAAACAGGCUAUAUAGUGAGGCGGGGAGAUGGAACAUUUGAUGUUGAUGCAAAUACAUCAAUAGAUCACCUCUCUGAAGAGCUUGGUAUCAAAAUACCAGAGGUAUUGUUUCUCAUUUGAUCUUAGCUUUCUCUACAGUUGCUAUGCAUUCCCUUGGACAUGUGUAUAUUUAAGGAAGGUAUGGCUCGGAAAAUAGUAGAUUGAUUAUGAGUAGUACAAAAGGGUAGGCAAGGAUGAUCUGGGAUUUAUAGAACAAUACCCAAUCAGGGAGAUCCUUGCCUAAUAGCUAAUCAACUACAUAAAACCCAUGGAGGCAGGCUUAGGUGCCAGGGCCCAUGCGGCCAGCCCAAUAGCCCUCUGGAAACUCCAUUCUAACAUAUAUGUUGGAGUGGACACUGUAUGAUGAUCAUCGAAAUGUGAGUUCCAUCAUUUAGAGAUGCCUGGUUUGCAGAACCUAUACAGAUAUAACGUUAUUAUAUCUAUUUUUUGGUGGAAACUGGACAUUUAAUAUUUAGGUCAACAAAAUAUUCACAAAUGUUCUGUUUGUAAAAUAUGCCCUUGGUAGUCAUCAUUUAUAUGGUGCUCUGUAUUUCUGUCAUGUUUCUCGUAGAUUGGCUGAUAAUCUUGAGACACUUGGACACUAUCUUUUGGCAGGGGCAUCAGUAUGAGACGGUGUCUGGUUUUGUCUGUGCAUCUUUUGGCUAUAUUCCAGAAGAAGGUGGGAAAAUGCUUGUGAUUCUUGAAAAGGAUUACAGAGAAGAAAACGGUGAAUAUCAGGAGGAAGGUUCUGAUCGCCAAGAUGAUAGAGAAAAAACUCAAGCUUACGAACUUGAGGUAAUUGUUACAACUCCUUGUGUACUCUGUUUGCUCAAGAGUUCUAGUACCAGGUCAAUUAUUAUAAUGCGAUUAUCUUGUCAUCGCUAGAAAUCUUUACUAGUAUAUAUAACUAUUAUGAAUUUUCCUUCAUUACUUGAAAGCUGAAAGACACCACAAAAGCUUCAAUUUUCUUUGUUGAUGCAAUACCAUGAAACCUUUUUUGUUAAAUAACUCUCAUUAGAACCAAUUUUCCAUACAGGGCAUUUGGUUCUUAGAUCAUUUUAUAGGAUAUUUCGUACUAUAAGUAAGAACCAACUACUAUCCACAAUUACCUCUACAUGCUUGUUUGUGCAUAUAAAAAGACAACAAUACUCAGAAGGUUGCUGUAACAUGUCCACACUCCGCUUUUGUGGUGCUAAUACUACCGAACAUUUGUAAUUGCUUUUUUUAUUUGAAGCUAAAAAAAGAAAGUAUACAAAAACUAAUAGAUAAGAAAACCAACUACUCAAUUGUCAAUUCAGAAUUCAUACUGUGGGUUAUAAGGUUAUUUCAGUGAAAUUGUUUUGGUAUUGGUACACAACCUUUAUUAGUUGGUGCAACUCCCAUUUCCGGAAGUCUUCGUACACUUUAAUUGAAUUGCUGCAGCCCUAGGAAUCCAUAGUUUCUGUUUCACAAUUCACCCAAAGUUUCAUUCUUUGUUGCAGAAUUAAAUAACCUUCUGUAGUUGUUUUCACUACCUUUAUUACCUGGCUUCUCUUGCUCACAGAUAGUGGAAGCUAAUGCAAGGAAGGUGGGCAAAGUCCUAUUUAAGCCAAUAAGCAGUGAAUGUGUUGGUGUUGACAACAAGGGUGUGAACCGCCUGGUCUCCAAGAAGAUCAUCAAACGGAAGAAGCAGGGCUAUGAUGAUUCCUCCGGUGACGAGUAUCCAGAUACAACAGAGAAUGGCUGCCCUGCUGAGGCACUCUCCUACUCGGAUGGUAACAGUGCCUUGUUGGAAGAUGCAAGCAGUUCUAGUGCCAAGAGGUGACAAUAAAGGAACUCCAAGACCAUCGUACUACUGGUAAUAAUUACAGCACACCGUCACCGGUCCUAAUACCCCUUGUUACAACAGAAGAAGAUGAGAAGAACAUAGUAGUAGGCUACCCAAAAAAAAAAACUGCGAGAGCAACACCAAGAGGUUAACAGCAGUUUAAGGCAUUGCAACAUUUUUCAGUAGCAGGAGUAGCAGUAGUAGCAGUCUAGAGGUGCAGCGAGGUGUCGACGUCGACUUCACCAGAGACAUGUUUGUAGUUGUAGGUCUUACUGGGCCACAGCUCCACCGCAAUGGGGUCGCUAUCGCCGUGGAGCUGGAAGCUUUUGCAUUCACAGACAGUGGUUGGCACGGCCGGGAAUAAGGAGGCUGCGGCGGCAACAGCGGCAGUGGUUUCCCGCAGCGGCCUGCACGGGUAGAGCAGCUCCGGGUGGAAGAACCACUUGACGGGCAUCUCCCUCGGGGAGGCGGUGGCCGCAGGGCGGGGGGCGAGCACGUGGAGAAGCCUCUCCUCCCGCUUCUCCCUGAUCCUCUCCAGCUCCCUGAACCUCUGCUGCAGCAGGGCGAUGGAGGAGAACAUCACCUGGCCUUCGCUGCUCUGCACCCCCAUGAUGACUGGGCGAGAGGGGGAGCUCUCACUCCAGCUCCGAGUUUCAGUUACGUGUUCGUGUCGUGUGUAUCUCACUCAAGCGUCUGUCUACUUCGCUCGGUGUGUGUGGGGGUUUUGCUUGCUGCUUGAAGGGGUGGUGGUCUUGGGCAUGUGCGUAUUUAUAAGCCGCAAAGUUUUGUCACGGCGCAGGGCGUCGUCUUGUGGUCGUCUUGCAAGUUGCGCCAAUUCUUUCAUCUUCAUCUUCCAUUAUGUGAUGCUAUGCCUGUUUGUGUGUUUUGUUUAUGGGCUGAUUGAAAAACAAAAGAGGCACUAUUGGUAUGAGAGAGAAUCUGGGAGGAGAAUGUCACGUCGCCCGAGAAAGGAAGUGGGAGGCGUGCAGGUGAGAGAAUAAGGGGCGUGGCGUGGGAGAGUCCAAGGAAAUGGGGCUGUGGACGCUUGCGCUUGUUCCGUUCCUGGCGGUGGGAAUCGCCGUGUGCCGUUGUGAUGUGCGGGGUGGCCAUGAUUGCGCCUCUGUUUGUCUGUCACCUUUUUCCCUUGCGCAUUGCUGCAGCAGCAGGGCAGGGGAGAGGUCUGCAUGCCCUGCCAUGCCCUGCCCUGCUGCUCGUACUAGCUCGCUACUACUCCCUUCCCCCUCUCCAUCCAAACGGGCACUGCGAGCUUUUCCUGGUCUAUAAUGGCGUCGUUGGAGCUGUAGUACGUGCUGUUCGUAGCAACUGUGGGCAGCGCUUUCAGGUGUGGAACUGUGCACUCCAUGAGCCAUUGUCUUCGUUUGCGUGUGUGAACGUGUUGGAGAGUCUGGGAGCAGAAAGUCUGCGUUGAACGUUACUUCUUUGGGUCUUUGACUGGUGCGUCCAUAGAUCUGUGAAUGGGAGCGCUGAUUGCACGCUGCGUAGUACAGUGCGUUCGAGUAACGCUGAGACGGCGUGCUGCUUUGAAGUUUCAACUUUUGGUUAAUUCAGGAAAGUUGAUUGAUCUUAUGUUUUUUGACGGCCAGGUAAACACGGCCAAUUGCACCGGCGUCAAAAAGACCUCUGUCAUCCGAUGCUUUGGACAGUAAUUGAGAUAUUCGUAACAAAUGCUUCACUACCCGAAGAGAAAACUAGUUUUCGUUGGUUUCCGCAUUUUGUGAAAAUAAGAAAGGGCAUGUUUGAGUCAGAGUCGGGUUAUUAUAAUUGGAUUAUCGACUCUAAUAAUUAGAGUGCUAGAUUUUUUGUGGUGGAACCUAUCCAUUUCUUGCCUAGCCAGCCAACUAUCAUGAUGCUACAUGGUAUUUAAGUAACGACCAUUUUCUCAAAUGGUCAAGGAUUAUAUUCUUCUUUGAUUUUUUUUUCCCUUCAAGUGGCCUAGGGUUUUGUAGUCUAAUGUGAACAAUAUCAGGUGAAAACAAAAUAGCAUCAAAGAAUAGAUAGCCAAAAUGCCUAACGAAAAGGAAAAUUGUGGGUUACAUGUCUCAUGAAUUAUUUGAUGAAGUAGAAUAAGAUACGUUCGGUUAUUUGAGAGAAAAAAAAACUGCACAACAUAAAAAAAUAACUGUUUGCCUAGUUGGCUAAGAAAAAAUAUAGUGGGCUCCAUGGCUCCUAAGACUCUUUAAAUAUCAUGUAAAUGGAUAUAAAAGAAGUCAAUAAAUCAUUCUGCUGAUAUUGACUGAAUUAUUUGCUAUCAACAAUUAUCCAAAAAAGAUUUCUUUAAGAAUAAUAUUUCUACCAUGUAAAACAAGAAGAAAAAGACAAAUUAAUCGGAACUUUUGUUUGUGGCUGGAACUAUUGUAAAUGUCAUUGUUGAGUUGAGAUAUUUUUUUUUUGAAGUUCCCUUUUUGCGAGGAAUGAGUAAUCUGAACGUUAUUUGUUUGUGGUUGUUGAUUCCCUGGAGCUGUUAUAGAAGUCAUUAUUGAGUAGAGAUUUUUUGAAGUUCCUUUUUGCAACGAAUGAGUAAAUAGUUGCAUAGAUGUUUGAUGGUAUUAGCAUACUCUGCUUCUAAAAUAAUGAAAGGGAUUUUCCGUUACUAUUUAGUUGUGGACUGAGGCCUGAAGAAGUAUGUUUUGAAACUCGGAAUUUCAUGGAGGAUUUGUAGGAAUCCCAUAUAUAAUAAACAUGUCAAAAUUAAUCCUCCUAUAUUUUCUUGGUCAUUUUCUAGAGCUAGGCUCAUUUAUCUUUAAUUUGUCUAGUGAAGAGUAUAUGUAUAUCCUUUGCUCCAAACAUGUAGUGGUGAGUGGAGUUUACUAAUAUUAUUAUGUGUAGUUAACCUAGAACUAGAAGCUUGGUAACUGAGCCUUAUCUAAUCUGGCCCUAAACUAACUUAUCAUCCAAACUGAUCAGUUGGAGUCUUGUGACGAUGAUAUCUCUGGUUUGUUGUGGAACGGGACUAGUACUGCCGGACAUAUUAUACAUUGGAUGCAUGCGACAUAUAUACAGUGUUGAACUUGUUUAUAUUAAUUUAUCCUGGAUAGCCAAUAGUAGCCCAUAACAUUAACAUGCAACAUAGUAUAUGCAUUUGCAUGUACUGCUAGUUCCCUGCUACGUACGAUCCUGACAGUAGGCACCUAAUCUUUCCAUGCCCCAAUAUUUUACCGCCGCUGUCGCUUCCAUUCUAGAGAGAGAACAAUAUGACCAUCUUGUAAAACAUUCUAGAGAAGAGAUGCAUGGAGAGUAUGGCAAUAAUUUAAGCAGAUUGAUGGGAGCGAGAUAUUUUUAAAGGCAGAUCAUCGAUUGAUGCAUGGGAGCGAGAGAGCUUAGCAGAGAAAAUAAAGAAGAUUGGUGAUUGGUGAUAGGCCGGGGCAGCCGUGGUGCAGCAGCAGCUAGAACUAGAGAAGCUAAAAGGAAGGCUGAUGGCAGGGCAGGGCAGUAGUUUAAGGACGGGUCCAUGCCUGCAGCUAGCUAGCAUCUAUCGACGUUCCUCCGUUGUCGCGGAGCCGGUGGACGCGAAUGGCAUGCGUGGGUGCACUACCCUGCUGAUGCACACAGCAUGCAUUGCUGCCUGCAUGCGACAUGGUAUACAGCUCCCGGCCGGCGUCUCUCCUCUCCUCUCUUCUCUUCUCUUGUCCAUCCAUCGGCAGCAUACGGUCGGUCACUCGCAGCAUGCAUGCUCCUCUGAUCGAGCUCUGCUGGUGUCGUGUCGUGUCGUCGAUGGAUCGGGGCCGGGUUGGGUGUUGCUGCAUUGCAUGCUCCCUAAAGCGCCGCCCUUGUUGCCAAAGUGAAUGCUGCCGACGACGACCGCCGCGCCGCCCGUCUUCUUUUUCGGCGGAGGGGGGCGGCCGGGCACGGGCACGGGCACGGCACAGUCUUCCGGGCAGGGGCAGGGGCAGCCGGGCAAGCCAACACCUGCUAGCGGACGAGAAAUUGAAUCGAAUGGGAAACAAAGAAAAAAUUGAUGGCUGAUGGCUCCAUCUUUCUUUCUGUCUGUCUGUCUGUCGGUCAGUCAUUUUACUAAUUUAUUUGACUGCGCUACGGAGACGACAGUGUAACAUUUUUAUUUGUAUUUAAUAAUUAUUAUUUAACUAUAGACUAAUUAGGCUCAAAAGAUUCGUCGCGUAAACUAUAGACAAACUGUGCAAUUAGUUUUUAUUUUCGUCUAUAUUUAGUACUUUAUACAUGUGCCACAAGAUUUGAUAUGACGGGAAAUUUUAAAAAGUUUUUGAAUUUCGAAGUGAACUGGUCAAAUAUGCAAUGCUUGUACGUGCGCACUAGUUUAUGCCAAUGAUUCAUUUUUCGCGGAUCCUCCGAAUUUCACACCAUACAGUCAGAAUAUAAUUGCUCCAAGACACGUCAAUUUUGAUGCGUCAAUUUGUGCAUGUGGUUCCUGGCACUACUGGAUCCGGCUUCUUUGCCGAGAGCCGCGAGCCCUCGGCAAAUGCCUAAAAGCCCUCGGCAAAGGCUUUGCCGAGGGCCAUAAACGCCCUCGGCAAAGCCUACGGCGCCGUCGAAAAACGUCAAUAUUGACGUCGUCUUUGCCGAGAGCCAUGCUGGCAGGCUCUCGGCAAAGAUUCUUUAUUUUUUUUAAAAAAAGCCUUUGCCGAGAGCCCUGCAGGAAGGCUCUCGGCAAAGAACCCCUUUGCCGAGAGCCAGACAUCCAGGCUCUCGGCAAAGAACCCCUUUGCCGAGAGCCAGACAUCCAGGCUCUCGGCAAAGCUGUAGUUCUUCUGAACCCGGCUUUCUAUCUUUGCCGAGUGCCAGCCAUCCAUGCUCUCGGCAAAGCUGAGAAUUUAGUUUUUUUUUCUGUUUUUUAUCUGUUUUUUACAUGCACAGCCACAUAUGUAUAUAUAUAUAUCACAAAUCCCUUUGUCUAUAUCACAAUCCACAUAUAUAUCACGCAUGAAACAUAUCGAAGUCCACAGAUAUCACAAAUCCACAUAGAUAUGACAAAUAUAACAUUACGUCCAACAUAAACCAUAAGUCACCACAAGUUCAUAACAUAAACCACAAGUCCACGUGAAUAUCACUCCUCGAAGUCGCUAGCGCCUCACCCCUAGUGCUGUGACUCUGACCUGUCGUCGCCGUGGCCUCCGUCGUGUCCCGAGCCUCCAUCUGGCCAAGCCGACCAGGGUGAGUGCCCCCCAGGGUGUGUAGAGCUCGCACCUGCCCACGGCGCCCACAUGGCCUGCCCUGGCACCGACGGGUACGGGUACGAGUACCCGGGGCGCGGAGGAGGGCUGCCGGACAACCCGGGGUGGCCGUGCUGCGGAUGGGCACCAGGCCACGUGUGCUGCGUACUUGGGUGGCCAUAAGUAGUAACCUGCCACCCACUCCUUGGAGAAGGGGUCGGGUUCGAACCCCACGACUGAUGCUACAUAAUAUAAAAGCGAACUCAUUAGUAUCUGCAGGACGGCCACACAAGCCAAAGCAAUAGACAAACAUAUAUACACUCACCGGACUGCCUGCAGGGGCAGGAACAGGGGGUGGAACAGGGGGUGGAGCGAAGAGCGAGGCAGGCAGCGGAGGCGCUGUAGAGCUGUGGAUGGACUGGAAGUAUCCGACUAGGUCCGAGAUCUGACGCUGCGUGUGCUGCUGCUGUGCCUCCAUGUGGCGCCGAUGGGCCUCGUCUCUGGCCGCCAGCGCGGCCGCCAGCUCUCGCCGAUGAGCCUCCUGCAGCUCGUCCUGCCUGGCCCGCAACUCCUCUAGCUGCGACUGCAAUAUUACACCCGCAAUGGUUAAACAAUGCAAAAGGAGAUGUAUAUAUGUAAAAAUAAUGGACGAUGGAUAAAGCUGUAGUUACCUGCAUCGUAGCUAUCUGCUGCACGGAGCUCGGCUGACGAGGCCGUAUGGGGACGUCGGAGGUCGAGCUGCUCCCCUGCCGAACCUCGCGGAGCGUGGGUACGGUGGCCGGGUUGAUUGCGCUGUGGGCAAUCAUGUACCGGCCGUGCUGCUUCCCUCCUCCCGUCCUCAUGAGCAAGUCCGUGUCCGAGACCCUUUGCCGUGGGCCGUCCAGUCUGGCUCUCGGCAAAGACCCUUUGCCGUGAGCCUAACGCGCAGGCUCUCGGCAAAGAACUGCUGACUUUUUUUAUUCUUUUUGAAUUUAGAGCUGAGUUUUUUUUUUUGUCCUUGUGACUCAAUUUCUAAAUACAUUUUAAAAUUUGGCAUUAAUUUGACUUUUUUUGCUAUAUUUAACUAAUUAAUCUUGUUUCUUUAUAUUUUUUCACAUAAUUCAAAUUUCAACUGUAGGUACAUGAAAUAUUACAACUCAAUGAUUCGAAAAAUGAUAGUCAAGAUAUUUGGUGUACGUUGAGGUCGUAACCACAACCACACAUGAAAUCUCAACCCUCUCGCUAACAUAACAUGUCAAGGAAUGUGAGGGAAAAUGGAUUUAUAAUUAUAUAAAUUUCAAAUAAACUCCAAAAAUCACGAAACUUGGCGACGUGUCGUGUUAUCGCAUGUGGAGGCUGUGGUAAAAAAUUCAUAAGGUUCCGAGCAAGUUGCGACACCGGAUGUCUAAAACCCAGACAUCUCCACAUGUUAUCGAAUGUGAUCACAUGCGGAGAUGUCUGGGUUUUAGACAUCUCGUGUCGCAACUUACUCGAAACCUUAUGAUUUUUUUACCACAGUCUCCACAUGCCAUAACAUGACACAUCGUCAAGUUUCGUGAUUUUUGGACUUCAUUUGGAAUUUAUAUAAUUAAAAAUCACUUGUACGACACAUGGAUGGUCAUGUUUUAUAUACAAGAAAUUCAAACUCUUGGGUGAGUUUAUGGAUACAACAUCAAAAUGCAGUCUUGAACAUGAGUAUAAUUUUUUGAAUGACUAUAUUUUAUUAUUUCAUGCUCCUACAGUUCAAAAUUACUUUUUCGAGAAAAAUACAAAUAAAAUAAUUUAAUUAAAAAAUAUAGCAAAAUGUUAUAAAAAGCUCUCAAAUUUGAACAUGUGCUUAUAUACAAUAUGUAAGGGUUACAGAAAAAGUUUGAGUACAAAACUAAAAAAAAUCUUUCUUCUUUGCCGAGAGCUUGACAAGGCACUUGGCAAAGGCCUCCUCUUUGCCGAGAGCCUAACGCCGUGGCUCUCGGCAAAGGUGACGACAACGGUUGCCGUUACCAGCGCUGCUCCUUUGCCGAGAGCCUAUCUUUGCCGAGAGCUAGGCUGUCGGCAAAGCUAGCCUUUGCCGAGGGCUUGCCUUUGCCGAGAGCUUGACCAUCGGUAAAGUUUCUUUGCCGAGGGUCGUUUCUGACUGUCGGCAAAGGCAGUCUUUGCCGAGGGCUAGCUCUCGGCAAAGCUGAGCCCUCGGCAAAGCUCUCGUUUCCUGUAGUGUGGGCUUUGAAUUGAUCGAUGGCAAAAAGCCGUAAUGGAAGCACGUCGCGUCUUGAAUGCAUGCACUAUAUAGGAAUAUAGCUACACAAAAGAAGAGAAAUAAUGACACACAUAGUAGUAGCUAGCUAGUAAAGUGUGUAUGUAAGGCCUUGUUUAGUUCCCAGAAAAUUUUGCAAAAUUUUUCACGGUCCCCGUCACAUCGAAUCUUUAAACGCAUACAUAAAGUAUUAAAUAUAGACGAAAAUAAAAACUAAUUGCACAGUUUGGUCGAAAUAGACGAAACGAAUCUUUUGAGCCUAGUUAGUCCAUGAUUGGAUAAUAUUUGUCAAAUACAAACGAAAGUGCUACAGUGUCGAUUUUGCAAAAUUUUUCGGAACUAAACAAGGCCUAAACCUAAAAGCCCAUGCAUUAUUGCUUUUUAAAAAGUUAAAGCGGUGAUGGAUGGUUUUGUUCAUGGCUCGAGGAGGAUGUGUCCUAGCUAGUUGUUGGUGGGGGAGGUGAGAGUACCUAGGAAAAUUUGCUUACAUUUUCCUGUACAUGCAUGCAUGCAACGCUAAUUGGAUGGAUAUGGUCGGAACAUGCAUGGGUCCACCAUUCACAUCUCUUGGUCCUACACGCACGCCUACUAUUGUGAUGCGUCUCAGCUUUUUAAUGUGCCUGCGUUGCAUGCAUGCAGCUGGGUACGUAAGGACACGCCGCAAGCUGCCCAAACUCUAGCUCUGCUUCCCGCAUUGCAUUGCAUUGUAUCUACCUCGUGGCGCAUUAGGGUUAGAGAGAGAGAGAGAGAGAGAGAGAGAGAGAGAGAGAGAGAGAGAGAGAGAGAGAGAGAGAAGUGUGGUAUAGCUAGCAUGCAUCCAUAUAUAUCCGAUCGACCUGUAGUUCAUGGCACAUUCAUUAGGUUUGGAAGAGUGAGAUCGAGGCAGGACGAUAUGUAGUACGUCGUCGUCCUUCGUAUAAACGGACAUUCGCUCAAUGUUGAAUUGUUGACAGACGACGAUGCGCGCGGCACUUUGUUUGACCAUGCAUGCAUUCAUCCGUGCAUGCAUGGAGCGUCUAUGUGCUUGUCCCUGAAUAAACUAAUUAAUCACUGCACGAACUCGAUCGCCUUGCUGUCAACUUAGCUUAGCUUAUUACAAGUGUGUUAACGACAAGCAAUCAUGGAAAUGAGCUGCAUAUAGACACUGUUCACAAUGCACGUUAUGUUGGAGCACUAGCUAUAGCUAAUUAAUGAGCCAGCAAUUAACAAAACGCCUGCUAAACCAAAAUAUGCAUUUAAGCCAUGUUUCGUUUCCUCCGGUAAAGUUUAACUCCUGUCAUAUCGAGUGUUUGGACACAUGCAUUAAAUAUUAAAUAUAAAUUAUUUACAAAACUAAAAUAAAACUAGAGAGUAAUUUGCGAAAUAAAUCUUUUAAAUCUAGUUAGUCUAUAAUUAGAUACUAAUUGUCAAAUAAAACAGAAAUAUGCUAUAUGCUACAGUACAUCCUUAACCGGCAAGUACAGGCCGGGUGAGGCAUGUCGGAUGCUAGAGAUGGCCAAAUGGGCUAAGCCCAAUAAUACGCAGCCUAAGCACAUAUGGGCCUACUAAAGCAUCGCAUUACAUUAUGGGUCGAGCCACUAUGUGUCUCGUGCCCUUUUUUACCAUUCAAAAUGGGUGCUCUCAGGAUGGAUCAUAAUUAUGCCCCUUUUUAAUUCGAGAGCAAUGUUGAUCAAAUUUCGUCGUAGUUGCAGCACAGCCAAAAAAAAAAACUAACAAAAAGAGCCUGUCAGACAACCCAUGGGCCAUCCCAGCCAGGCAAGCCUGGCCGGAAACGAUCAUCUACAGCACCGGACAAAGCGUCAGAGCCAAUCCUGGCCGUUAAUCACGCUCUGGCCCACAGGUCAUGGCUCAUCAACCAGGCUUAAGUGCUUGCCUCCUUAUUAAUCAAGGAUGCAGCGGUACGAUCCUAUAGAACAGAUCCUGUUCAAGUAAGGUCGU
Molecule: long non-coding RNA, 28256 nt
Filed under: Sorghum bicolor (sorghum)
Lineage: Eukaryota; Viridiplantae; Streptophyta; Magnoliopsida; Poales; Poaceae
Description: long non-coding RNA (SBIC_LNC000284)
Source: RNAcentral